GACGAACGCUGGCGGCGUGCUUAACACAUGCAAGUCGAACGGAAAGGCCCUGCUUUUGUGGGGUGCUCGAGUGGCGAACGGGUGAGUAACACGUGAGUAACCUGCCCUUGACUUUGGGAUAACUUCAGGAAACUGGGGCUAAUACCGGAUAGGAGCUCCUGCUGCAUGGUGGGGGUUGGAAAGUUUCGGCGGUGGGGGAUGGUCGCGGGGUUUAUCAGCUUGUGGGGGGGGUAGUGGUUUACCAAGGCUUUGACGGGUAGCGGGCCUGAGGGGGUGACCGGCCACAUUGGGACUGAGACAGGGCCCAGACUCCUGCGGGAGAGAGCAGGGGGGAAUAUUGCACAAUGGGCGGAAGCCAGAUGCAGCAGCGCCGCGUGCGAGAUGACGGCCUUCGUGUUAUAAACCGCUUGCGCCUGUGACGGAGCGUGAGUGACGGUAAUUGGUAAAGAAGCACCGGCUAACUACGUG
Molecule: ribosomal RNA, 468 nt
Filed under: uncultured bacterium
Lineage: Bacteria
Description: partial 16S ribosomal RNA
Rfam family: Bacterial small subunit ribosomal RNA
Source: RNAcentral